CGGCGGACGGGUGAGUAACACGUGGAUAACCUACCUAUAAGACUGGGAUAACUUCGGGAAACCGGAGCUAAUACCGGAUAAUAUAUUGAACCGCAUGGUUCAAUAGUGAAAGACGGUUUUGCUGUCACUUAUAGACGGAUCCGCGUCGCAUUAGCUAGUUGGUAAGGUAACGGCUUACCAAGGCAACGAUGCGUAGCCGACCUGAGAGGGUGAUCGGCCACACUGGAACUGAGACACGGUCCAG
This 244-nucleotide ribosomal RNA is filed under the name uncultured Staphylococcus sp. RNAcentral's name for it is "partial 16S ribosomal RNA". It matches the Rfam family "Bacterial small subunit ribosomal RNA", at positions 96 to 334 of the family's 1533-position model. Lineage: Bacteria; Bacillati; Bacillota; Bacilli; Caryophanales; Staphylococcaceae. The record is from RNAcentral.